RNAcentral lists this ribosomal RNA (291 nucleotides) under uncultured bacterium. RNAcentral's name for it is "partial 16S ribosomal RNA". It matches the Rfam family "Bacterial small subunit ribosomal RNA", at positions 505 to 796 of the family's 1533-position model. The record is from RNAcentral.
GUGCAGCCGCCGUGGUAAUACGGAGGGUGCAAGCGUUGUCCGGAAUCACUGGGUGUAAAGGGUGUGCAGGCGGGGCAGCAAGUCGGAGGUGAAAGUCCAUGGCUUAACCAUGGAAGUGCCUUCGAAACUGUUGCUCUUGAGUCCCGGAGAGGCUGUCGGAAUUCGUGGUGUAGCGGUGAAAUGCGUAGAUAUCACGAGGAACACCAGAGGCGAAAGCGGGCAACUGGACGGGUACUGACGCUCAGGCACGAAAGCGCGGGGAGCAAACAGGAUUAGAUACCCGGGUAGUCC